CUUCGCCGCCGCGCGGCCAUGGAGGCCCCGGGGCCGCCGCCUACCUGCGCUGCCGGCUCCCCUCCGCUCUGCUGGCCCGCCCGGACGGAACUCACAGGUGAAAGGAAUAAAGUGAUCUGCUGGAAUUACAUGGAGAAAGAGAGAUGGGUGGAUCCUAUACUUAGAAGGGCAGAGGAACGUCACAUAGCAAAAGGUUAGUCUGGCUUCCAGCAGAGGCAGAAUUGAAUAACUAGCCAAUCAACAUGCAAAAUACUGAAGAAAGCAGCUCAGCACACAGCCAUCAGCCAAACAUGAGGUUAGCUUGCGGCUGCAGACAGGACGUCAUUUCCUACACUGCCUGAGAAAAUAUGAUUGUAUGAAGAGGAAGAACUGCAGAAUUUCCCUGCAACGGUUCCUUCAGCUUUUCUUCCAAAGGCUUGCUCCUGUCUCUCUAUCUGAAACCUGAGGCUGGUACUCCCUUCUCCACUUCCCUGGCUCCAGCAUGUGGACAUUGCUAUGGAGCCCAUCAACAAAUCACUGUGGAUGAUUUCCAUUUAUAUCUCAUGUCUCAGGAUACUUCCUCGCUGGGACUUCUCUCCUCUCUUGUGCAUCCCAUAACCCACUUCUUCACAUUGCUACUGGAACAAUCUGUGCCAGGGAGAUAUCUUCUGUUAAUGGGCCAUUGAGUCCCACUGCAU
Molecule: long non-coding RNA, 677 nt
Organism: Catharus ustulatus (Swainson's thrush)
Lineage: Eukaryota; Metazoa; Chordata; Aves; Passeriformes; Turdidae
Exons: 5
Source: RefSeq, a predicted model, not a curated record